CAAUCAGCCCUUUUCAGGGCUACCAACAAAUAACGUAGAAAAACUU
Molecule: non-coding RNA, 46 nt
Organism: Nasonia vitripennis (jewel wasp)
Lineage: Eukaryota; Metazoa; Arthropoda; Insecta; Hymenoptera; Pteromalidae
Source: Rfam